CCUACGGGAGGCAGCAGUGAGGAAUAUUGGUCAAUGGCCGGGAGGCUGAACCAGCCAAGUCGCGUGAGGGAAGACGGCCCUACGGGUUGUAAACCUCUUUUGUCAGGGAGCAAGGUGCAGGUCGGGACCUGCUGUGAGAGUACCUGAAGAAAAAGCAUCGGCUAACUCCGUGCCAGCAGCCGCGGUAAUACGGAGGAUGCGAGCGUUAUCCGGAUUUAUUGGGUUUAAAGGGUGCGCAGGCGGAGACACAAGUCAGCGGUAAAAUCGCGGGGCUCAACCCCGCACGGCCGUUGAAACUGUGGCCCUUGAGUGCGCGAAGGGUAGGCGGAAUGCGUGGUGUAGCGGUGAAAUGCAUAGAUAUCACGCAGAACUCCGAUCGCGAAGGCAGCCUACCGGCGCGCAACUGACGCUCAUGCACGAAAGCGUGGGUAUCGAACAGGAUUAGAUACCCCAGUAGUC
RNAcentral lists this ribosomal RNA (459 nucleotides) under uncultured bacterium. Its description in RNAcentral is "partial 16S ribosomal RNA". It matches the Rfam family "Bacterial small subunit ribosomal RNA", at positions 338 to 795 of the family's 1533-position model. The record is from RNAcentral.